Molecule: long non-coding RNA, 935 nt
Organism: Mobula hypostoma (lesser devil ray)
Lineage: Eukaryota; Metazoa; Chordata; Chondrichthyes; Myliobatiformes; Myliobatidae
Exons: 3
Source: RefSeq, a predicted model, not a curated record
GCACAACGUACACUUCGACCUACCUGCGCUCUGAUCUCCCGAAUGAACCCCUUGAAGCCGAGUUAAACUGAGGAGGUGUCCUUCCCACUUCGCACCCAGUCCCGCGCUGGAGAUGUGGUUCUGCUGCUGUUGGAGCCUACAAUCUACAUUCUGACGCCUUGUUUCCGGGCCGAUUGGGUGAUCUGGUGCUUUGCCGUCUCUGAGAGGGUUCCAGGAGGCUGCAAGUAAAGCGUGCAACCUGGAGACACGGCGCAAGCCCGUGUUCAACUCCAUCUCUUGCCAAUCUUGCCGAUGAAAGUGAAAUCAUCAAGGCGAGUGAGUGUUCAGCACUAUCUAUCAACCUCUCACUCACUACUGCCGGAGGAAGGUGUCUGUGUGUGGUGGUUUCUCUCUCCUUCUCGCUCAGUGCUCCUGAGGAAAGCUUCCUGCAUUCAAGUGAGCUCUCUCUCCCUCGAUGCUAUCAGAGGAUGGUGCCAGAGCAAGGUUUAAUCGACGUGGUUUGUGGAUUGUGGACUCUAAUUCACGGAUGAUGUGUUUCUAGUUUUUCUGAUGUCACGUGACCGGCAACAUUGAAUAUAGAAUUGAGUUGGAUUUUAUAAAAACAAACAUUUAUUAAACUUUGCUCAAAAAUAGCGAAAUGUAUUUAAACGACUAACUUAAUCGGAAGUUAACUGCUAUACGGCAACUCUGGAACAGUUCUUAAAAGGGAACGACACCGAUCUGGCUUUGUUGCAGUUCUCUAGUAUGGAGUUGCAGCGUCAUCUAGUGGCCGUUUAGAUCUACAACGUCAAACGAGAGAAAAUCUGCAGAUGCUGGAAAUCCAAGUAACACACACGAAGUUCUGGAGGAACUCAGCAGGCCAGGCAGCAUCUAUACAGUCGAUGUUUCAGGCUGAGACCCUUCAUCAGAUCCACAAUGUGUGCAUCCGUUUCAGA